UGGGGAAUAUUGCACAAUGGGCGCAAGCCUGAUGCAGCCAUGCCGCGUGUGUGAAGAAGGCCUUCGGGUUGUAAAGCACUUUCAGCGAGGAGGAAGGUGGUGAGCUUAAUACGCUCAUCAAUUGACGUUACUCGCAGAAGAAGCACCGGCUAACUCCGUGCCAGCAGCCGCGGUAAUACGGAGGGUGCAAGCGUUAAUCGGAAUUACUGGGCGUAAAGCGCACGCAGGCGGUUUGUUAAGUCAGAUGUGAAAUUCCCCGGGCUCAACCUGGGAACUGCAUUUGAAACUGGCAAGCUAGAGUCUCGUAGAGGGGGGUAGAAUUCCAGGUGUAGCGGUGAAAUGCGUAGAGAUCUGGAGGAAUACCGGUGGCGAAGGCGGCCCCCUGGACGAAGACUGACGCUCAGGUGCGAAAGCGUGGGGCAGCAAACAGGAUUAGAUACCCUGGUAGUCCACGCUGUAAACGAUGUCGAUUUUGGAGGUUGUGCCCUUGAGGCGUGGCUUCCGGAGCUAACGCGUUAAAUCGACCGCCUGGGGAGUACGGCCGCAAGGUUAAAACUUAAAUGAAUUG
Molecule: ribosomal RNA, 568 nt
Filed under: uncultured bacterium
Lineage: Bacteria
Description: partial 16S ribosomal RNA
Rfam family: Bacterial small subunit ribosomal RNA
Source: RNAcentral